This 754-nucleotide long non-coding RNA is filed under the name Marmota monax (woodchuck). The record is from RNAcentral. Lineage: Eukaryota; Metazoa; Chordata; Mammalia; Rodentia; Sciuridae.
UGUAAACUCUGAGUACACAUUAGCCAGCCAGGAACACCCUUCAUGCACAUGACUCAUCGCUCAUUGUUUUGUGUCUCUGUGUUUUGAAAGAUCUUUACCAUUUUUUUAAUCAAAAUCCCCUGUCAGUAUUUUUGCUUAAAUUAUAUUCCUUCAUAGAGGAAUUUGAGCCUCCUUCUUGGAAGAAAGAAUUGUCAGCAGCUUUCAAAUGUCAGGGGCAUGCUUCUGGCUGUCGAGAUUUCAAACCGUGUGCAGCAGGUGCAGCUGGAGGAGCCAGAGCACAUCAACUAUCCCUUCACUUCCCAGUCCCCGCAGCUACAGCAUUUUGCAUUAGCAUGGGCACGUCUUAAAACUGAGGAACCAAUGUUGAGAAGAUGAUUGACUGAAAUCUGAGAUUAGCAGGAUUUCAUUCUCUGUGCUGUACAGCUCACUGGGUUUUGACAAAUGAAAUGCAUAUUGUGUGCCUCCACCCUUACAGUGUCACAUAGAAUCAUUUCACCACCCUGAAGUCCUCUGAAUAUCACAUUUUCCCAGCCCAGAAUCCCUGAUAACCAUUCAUCUUGCGGGGAGAGAGGUACUGAGGAUUGAACUCAAGGGCACUCAACCACUGAGCCUCCUUCCCAGCCCUAUUUUGUAUUUUAUUUAGAGACAAGGUCUCAUUGAGUUGCUUAGCGCCUAUGGCUGAGGCUGGCUUUAAACUUGCCAUCCGCCUGCCUCAGCCUCCCGAGCAGCGGGGAUUACAGGCAUGUGACAUCAC